CAGUUUCUGAAAAGAAGAAAACCCUUUUGUCUUCAGCAGAUCAGUAGAAUUACUUUGGGAGCGAGGAGAGUAUCGAGUGAUCUGGGCUGCUGAGGAGGAGCCUGAAGCCAUCUCUGAGUGGAGAUCUGGGAUUUGCAGGAGGAAAGGCUGAGUGUGUCCCCCCAUGUGGCAGAACUGCUCCUCCUUACCAGGGAACUCCAAGUGAAGGACAAAGGUCAAGGGCAGCUUUUACAUUCCACCCC
This 242-nucleotide long non-coding RNA is filed under the name Zosterops lateralis melanops. Its description in RNAcentral is "lncRNA (ENSZLMG00000008702.1)". The record is from RNAcentral. Lineage: Eukaryota; Metazoa; Chordata; Aves; Passeriformes; Zosteropidae.